This 422-nucleotide ribosomal RNA is filed under the name uncultured bacterium. RNAcentral's name for it is "bacterial SSU rRNA". It matches the Rfam family "Bacterial small subunit ribosomal RNA", at positions 355 to 774 of the family's 1533-position model. The record is from RNAcentral.
UGAGGAAUAUUGGACAAUGGGCGCAAGCCUGAUCCAGCCAUGCCGCGUGCAGGAAGAAGCAUCUAUGGUGUGUAAACUGCUUUUGUACGGGAAGGAACACUCCUACGUGUAGGAGCUUGACGGUACCGUAAGAAUAAGGAUCGGCUAACUCCGUGCCAGCAGCCGCGGUAAUACGGAGGAUCCAAGCGUUAUCCGGAAUCAUUGGGUUUAAAGGGUCCGUAGGCGGUUUAAUAAGUCAGUGGUGAAAGCCCAUCGCUCAACGAUGGAACGGCCAUUGAUACUGCUAGACUUGAAUUACAAGGAAGUAACUAGAAUAUGUAGUGUAGCGGUGAAAUGCUUGGAUAUUACAUGGAAUACCAAUUGCGAAGGCAGGUUACUACUUGUGGAUUGACGCUGAUGGACGAAAGCGUGGGGAGCGAACA